UGGCUCAGUUGGUAGAGCAUGACGCUUGUAAUGCCAGGGUCUUGGGUUCCAUUCCCAU
RNAcentral lists this transfer RNA (58 nucleotides) under Salmo salar (Atlantic salmon). It matches the Rfam family "tRNA", at positions 8 to 63 of the family's 71-position model. Rfam says of the family: Transfer RNA (tRNA) molecules are approximately 80 nucleotides in length. The record is from Rfam by way of RNAcentral. Lineage: Eukaryota; Metazoa; Chordata; Actinopteri; Salmoniformes; Salmonidae.